AGGGGUAUAGCUCAGUGGUAGUAUAUUCGGAUCAGUAGAUCGAGAGGUCCCUGGUUCAAACCCGGGUGCCCCUU
Trichonephila inaurata madagascariensis is the source of this 74-nucleotide non-coding RNA. Lineage: Eukaryota; Metazoa; Arthropoda; Arachnida; Araneae; Nephilidae. The record is from the annotation of a GenBank genome assembly.